GAUGAACGCUGACAGAAUGCUUAACACAUGCAAGUCGAUUCGAUUUACCUUCGGGUAUUGACGAGUGGCGAACGGGUGAGUAAUGUAUCGGAACGUGCCCAGUUGUGGGGGAUAACUGCUCGAAAGAGCAGCUAAUACCGCAUACGACCUGAGGGUGAAAGCGGGGGAUCGCAAGACCUCGCGCAAUUGGAGCGGCCGAUAUCAGAUUAGGUAGUUGGUGGGGUAAAGGCCCACCAAGCCAACGAUCUGUAGCUGGUCUGAGAGGACGACCAGCCACACUGGGACUGAGACACGGCCCAGACUCCUACGGGAGGCGGCAGUGGGGAAUUUUGGACAAUGGGCGCAAGCCUGAUCCAGCCAUGCCGCGGGCGGGAAGAAGGCCUUCGGGUUGUAAACCGCUUUUGUCAGGGAAGAAACGCUCUGGGCUAAUACCCUGGGGUAAUGACGGUACCUGAAGAAUAAGCACCGGCUAACUACGUGCCAGCCGCCGCGGUAACAC
This 499-nucleotide ribosomal RNA is filed under the name uncultured bacterium. RNAcentral's name for it is "bacterial SSU rRNA". It matches the Rfam family "Bacterial small subunit ribosomal RNA", at positions 28 to 526 of the family's 1533-position model. The record is from RNAcentral.